RNAcentral lists this ribosomal RNA (454 nucleotides) under Yersinia enterocolitica. Its description in RNAcentral is "partial 23S ribosomal RNA". It matches the Rfam family "Bacterial large subunit ribosomal RNA", at positions 1292 to 1745 of the family's 2925-position model. The record is from RNAcentral. Lineage: Bacteria; Pseudomonadati; Pseudomonadota; Gammaproteobacteria; Enterobacterales; Yersiniaceae.
GAAUGCUGACAUAAGUAACGAUAAUGCGGGUGAAAAACCCGCACGCCGGAAGACCAAGGGUUCCUGUCCAACGUUAAUCGGGGCAGGGUGAGUCGACCCCUAAGGCGAGGCUGAAAAGCGUAGUCGAUGGGAAACAGGUUAAUAUUCCUGUACUUGGUGUUACUGCGAAGGGGGGACGGAGAAGGCUAGGCUAGCCGGGCGACGGUUGUCCCGGUUUAAGCAUGUAGGCGGAGUGACCAGGUAAAUCCGGUUGCUUAUCAACGCUGAGGUGUGAUGACGAGUCACUACGGUGAUGAAGUAGUUGAUGCCAUGCUUCCAGGAAAAGCCUCUAAGCAUCAGGUAACAUGAAAUCGUACCCCAAACCGACACAGGUGGUCAGGUAGAGAAUACUCAGGCGCUUGAGAGAACUCGGGUGAAGGAACUAGGCAAAAUGGUGCCGUAACUUCGGGAGAAG